GUGGAUGUAGCUCAGUUGGUAGAGCGCCGGUUUGUGGUACCGGUGGUCGCGGGUUCAAGUCCCGUCAUUCACCCCA
RNAcentral lists this transfer RNA (76 nucleotides) under Acetobacteraceae bacterium. Its description in RNAcentral is "tRNA-His". It matches the Rfam family "tRNA". From Rfam's summary of the family: Transfer RNA (tRNA) molecules are approximately 80 nucleotides in length. The record is from RNAcentral. RNAcentral also lists the same sequence under 1 other name. Lineage: Bacteria; Pseudomonadati; Pseudomonadota; Alphaproteobacteria; Acetobacterales; Acetobacteraceae.